GGUUAAGUGACUAAGCGUACACGGUGGAUGCCUAGGCAGUCAGAGGCGAUGAAGGACGUGCUAAUCUGCGAUAAGCGUCGGUAAGCUGAUAUGAAGCGUUAUAACCGACGAUUUCCGAAUGGGGAAACCCAGUGCAAUUCGUUGCACUAUCGUUAAGUGAAUACAUAGCUUAACGAAGCGAACCAGGGGAACUGAAACAUCUAAGUACCCUGAGGAAAAGAAAUCAACCGAGAUUCCCCUAGUAGCGGCGAGCGAACGGGGAGCAGCCCAGAACCUUAAUCAGCGUAUGUGUCAGAGGAACGGUCUGGAAAGUCCGGCGAUACAGGGUGAUAGCCCCGUACUUGAAAAUGCAUAUGCUGUGAGUUCGAUGAGUAGGGCGGGACACGUGACAUCCUGUCUGAAUAUGGGGGGACCAUCCUCCAAGGCUAAAUACUCCUGACUGACCGAUAGUGAACCAGUACCGUGAGGGAAAGGCGAAAAGAACCCCGGCGAGGGGAGUGAAAUAGAACCUGAAACCGUGUACGUACAAGCAGUGGGAGCCUCUUUUAUGGGGUGACUGCGUACCUUUUGUAUAAUGGGUCAGCGACUUAUAUUUUGUAGCAAGGUUAACCGAAUAGGGGAGCCGUAGGGAAACCGAGUCUUAACUGGGCGUCAAGUUGCA
Molecule: ribosomal RNA, 661 nt
Filed under: Escherichia coli
Lineage: Bacteria; Pseudomonadati; Pseudomonadota; Gammaproteobacteria; Enterobacterales; Enterobacteriaceae
Description: partial 23S ribosomal RNA
Rfam family: Bacterial large subunit ribosomal RNA
Source: RNAcentral